This 455-nucleotide ribosomal RNA is filed under the name uncultured bacterium. Its description in RNAcentral is "SSU rRNA". It matches the Rfam family "Bacterial small subunit ribosomal RNA", at positions 26 to 518 of the family's 1533-position model. The record is from RNAcentral.
AGAACGAACGCUGGCGGCAUGCCUAACACAUGCAAGUCGAACGUGAUCCAGGCUUCGGCCUGGUGAAAGUGGCAGACGGGUGAGUAACGCGUGGGAACCUGCCCUGUGGUAGGGAAUAACCGUGGGAAACUGCGGCUAAUACCCUAUGAGUCCUUCGGGAGAAAGAUUUAUCGCCAUAGGAGGGGCCCGCGUCGGAUUAGGUAGUUGGUGGGGUAACGGCCUACCAAGCCUUCGAUCCGUAGCUGGUCUGAGAGGAUGAUCAGCCACACUGGGACUGAGAUACGGCCCAGACUCCUACGGGAGGCAGCAGUGGGGAAUAUUGGACAAUGGGGGCAACCCUGAUCCAGCAAUGCCGCGUGGAUGAUGAAGGCCUUCGGGUUGUAAAGUCCUUUCGGCGGGGAAGAUGAUGACGGUACCGCAGAAGAGCCCCGGCUAACGUUCGCGCCAGCAGCCGC